Molecule: long non-coding RNA, 312 nt
Organism: Drosophila sulfurigaster albostrigata
Lineage: Eukaryota; Metazoa; Arthropoda; Insecta; Diptera; Drosophilidae
Exons: 2
Source: RefSeq, a predicted model, not a curated record
CUCUUUUAAGUGUCAUUCCAGAAAGUUUAGGAAACAGUUUUCAAGUUAUUGAGGUUAGCUUUCGAAUAUGAGAUGAGCAUCACAACACACUGACCUAUGCGCUUCACAUGAACAUCUCGAUUGAAGCUGACACGUGGUCCGCCAUUAGCUGUCGAUGUCCCUGUUCCUGGCCCUGUUCCUGGCCCUGACAAGUGCAUUUGUUGUGGUAACAGUUUGGCAGGCAUCGCGGCGGUUGUGAUUGAUGUGUUGUUGUUAUUGUUGCUGGUUUGCUGGGAUCUCUGAUGUUGGGGAUCGCUUAUUGCUUAUUGUCAC